UACGGAGGGGGCUAGCGUUGUUCGGAAUUACUGGGCGUAAAGCGCGCGUAGGCGGAUCUGCAAGUCGGGGGUGAAAUCCCGAGGCUCAACCCUCGGAACUGCGUCUGAAACUACUCGACUAGAGUACUGGAGAGGGUAACGGAAUUCACGGUGUAGCAGUGAAAUGCGUAGAUAUCGUGAGGAACACCAGAGGCGAAGGCGGUUACCUGGCCCACUCUUGACGCUGAGGCGCGAAAGCUAGGGGAGCAAACGGG
This 254-nucleotide ribosomal RNA is filed under the name uncultured bacterium. RNAcentral's name for it is "partial 16S ribosomal RNA". It matches the Rfam family "Bacterial small subunit ribosomal RNA", at positions 524 to 776 of the family's 1533-position model. The record is from RNAcentral.